GAUGAACGCUGGCGGCGUGCCUAAUACAUGCGAGUCGAGCGAAUGGAUUAAGAGCCUGCUCUUAUGAAGUUAGCGGCGGACGGGUGAGUAACACGUGGGUAACCUGCCCAUAAGACUGGGAUAACUCCGGGAAACCGGGGCUAAUACCGGAAAACAUUUUGAACCGCAUGGUUCGAAAUUGAAAGGCGGCUUCGGCUGUAACUUAUGGAUGGACCCGCGUCGCAUUAGCUAGUUGGUGAGGUAACGGCUCACCAAGGCAACGAUGCGUAGCCGACCUGAGAGGGUGAUCGGCCACACUGGGACUGAGACACGGCCCAGACUCCUACGGGAGGCAGCAGUAGGGAAUCUUCCGCAUGGACGAAAGUCUGACGGAGCAACGCCGCGUGAGUGAUGAAGGCUUUCGGGUCGUAAAACUCUGUUGUUAGGGAAGAACAAGUGCUAGUUGAAUAAGCUGACACCUUGACGGUACCUAACCAGAAAGCCACGGCUAACUACGUGCCAGCAGCCGCGGUAA
This 514-nucleotide ribosomal RNA is filed under the name uncultured bacterium. RNAcentral's name for it is "partial 16S ribosomal RNA". It matches the Rfam family "Bacterial small subunit ribosomal RNA", at positions 28 to 523 of the family's 1533-position model. The record is from RNAcentral.